UACGUAGGGUGCAAGCGUUAAUCGGAAUUACUGGGCGUAAAGCGUGCGCAGGCGGUUUGCUAAGACAGGUGUGAAAUCCCCGGGCUUAACCUGGGAACUGCGCUUGUAACUGGCAAGCUAGAGUGUGGCAGAGGGGGGUGGAAUUCCAAGUGUAGCAGUGAAAUGCGUAGAUAUUUGGAGGAACACCGAUGGCGAAGGCAGCCCCCUGGGCUAACACUGACGCUCAUGCACGAAAGCGUGGGGAGCAAACAGG
RNAcentral lists this ribosomal RNA (253 nucleotides) under uncultured bacterium. RNAcentral describes it as "partial 16S ribosomal RNA". It matches the Rfam family "Bacterial small subunit ribosomal RNA", at positions 524 to 776 of the family's 1533-position model. The record is from RNAcentral.